This 573-nucleotide ribosomal RNA is filed under the name Vibrio cholerae. Its description in RNAcentral is "partial 23S ribosomal RNA". It matches the Rfam family "Bacterial large subunit ribosomal RNA", at positions 684 to 1258 of the family's 2925-position model. Lineage: Bacteria; Pseudomonadati; Pseudomonadota; Gammaproteobacteria; Vibrionales; Vibrionaceae. The record is from RNAcentral.
UUAACUGGGCGCUCAGUCUCUGGAUAUAGACCCGAAACCGGGUGAUCUAGCCAUGGGCAGGUUGAAGGUUGAGUAACAUCAACUGGAGGACCGAACCGACUAAUGUUGAAAAAUUAGCGGAUGACUUGUGGCUAGGGGUGAAAGGCCAAUCAAACUCGGAGAUAGCUGGUUCUCCCCGAAAGCUAUUUAGGUAGCGCCUCGGACGAAUACUACUGGGGGUAGAGCACUGUUAAGGCUAGGGGGUCAUCCCGACUUACCAACCCUUUGCAAACUCCGAAUACCAGUAAGUACUAUCCGGGAGACACACGGCGGGUGCUAACGUCCGUCGUGGAGAGGGAAACAACCCAGACCGCCAGCUAAGGUCCCAAAGUAUUGCUAAGUGGGAAACGAUGUGGGAAGGCUCAGACAGCUAGGAUGUUGGCUUAGAAGCAGCCAUCAUUUAAAGAAAGCGUAAUAGCUCACUAGUCGAGUCGGCCUGCGCGGAAGAUGUAACGGGGCUAAGCAAUACACCGAAGCUGCGGCAAUAUCUUUUAGAUAUUGGGUAGGGGAGCGUUCUGUAAGCCGUUGAAGGUG